This 433-nucleotide ribosomal RNA is filed under the name uncultured bacterium. RNAcentral's name for it is "partial 16S ribosomal RNA". It matches the Rfam family "Bacterial small subunit ribosomal RNA", at positions 29 to 507 of the family's 1533-position model. The record is from RNAcentral.
AACGAACGCUGGCGGCAUGCCUAACACAUGCAAGUCGAACGAGACCUUCGGGUCUAGUGGCGCACGGGUGCGUAACGCGUGGGAACCUGCCCUUAGGUUCGGAAUAACUCCCCGAAAGGGGUGCUAAUACCGGAUAAUGUCUUCGGACCAAAGAUUUAUCGCCUUUGGAUGGGCCCGCGUUGGAUUAGCUAGUUGGUAGGGUAAAAGCCUACCAAGGCGACGAUCCAUAUCUGGUCUGAGAGGAUGAUCAGCCACACUGGGACUGAGACACGGCCCAGACUCCUACGGGAGGCAGCAGUGGGGAAUAUUGGACAAUGGGCGAAAGCCUGAUCCAGCAAUGCCGCGUGAGUGAUGAAGGCCUUAGGGUUGUAAAGCUCUUUUACCCGGGAUGAUAAUGACAGUACCGGGAGAAUAAGCUCCGGCUAACUCCGUG